GAUGAACGCUGACAGAAUGCUUAACACAUGCAAGUCAACUGUGGCGGACGGGUGAGUAACGCGUACAGAACUUGCCUCACAGCUAGGGACCCCAUUUGGAAACGCAUGCUAAUACCUGAUCCUGUGAGAGAGCUUUGCGUCCCCUUAGCUAGUUGGCGAGGUAACGGCUCACCAAGGCGAUGAUGGGUAGCCGGCCUGAGAGGGUGCUCGGCCACAAGGGGACUGAGACACGGCCCUUACUCCUACGGGAGGAAGCAGUGGGGAAUAUUGGACAAUGGACAAAAGUCUGAUCCAGCAAUUCUGUGUGCACGAUGAAGUUUUCGGAAUGUAAAGUGCUUUCAGUUGGGAAGCAGUACCAACAGAAGAAGGGACGGCUAAAUACGUGCCAGCAGCCGCGGUAAUAC
Molecule: ribosomal RNA, 404 nt
Filed under: uncultured bacterium
Lineage: Bacteria
Description: partial 16S ribosomal RNA
Rfam family: Bacterial small subunit ribosomal RNA
Source: RNAcentral